GUGCUUGCUUCGGUAGUACAUAUACUAAAAUUGGAACGAUACAGACAAGAUUAGCAUGGCCCCUGCGCAAGGAUGGCACGCAAAUUCGUAAAAAAGAAAUUAAUAAA
RNAcentral lists this small nuclear RNA (107 nucleotides) under Propithecus coquereli (Coquerel's sifaka). Lineage: Eukaryota; Metazoa; Chordata; Mammalia; Primates; Indriidae. The record is from RNAcentral.